UACGUAGGGGGCAAGCGUUAUCCGGAUUACUGGGUGUAAAGGGAGCGUAGACGGCAGUGCAAGUCCGGAGUGAAAGCCCGGGGCUCAACCCUGGGACUGCUCUGGAAACUGUAAAGCUGGAGUGCGGGAGGGGCAGGCGGAAUUCCUGGUGUAGCGGUGAAAUGCGUAGAUAUCAGGAGGAACACCGGCGGCGAAGGCGGCCUGCUGGACCGUAACUGACGUUGAGGCUCGAAAGCGUGGGGAGCAAACAGG
Molecule: ribosomal RNA, 252 nt
Filed under: uncultured bacterium
Lineage: Bacteria
Description: partial 16S ribosomal RNA
Rfam family: Bacterial small subunit ribosomal RNA
Source: RNAcentral